Molecule: long non-coding RNA, 4625 nt
Filed under: Sus scrofa (pig)
Lineage: Eukaryota; Metazoa; Chordata; Mammalia; Artiodactyla; Suidae
Description: lncRNA (ENSSSCG00035073563.1)
Source: RNAcentral
GCAGAUCACGGGCCUAGGAGACAGUGGAGUCGGUGGAGGCGGUAAAGGCGGCGCUGAGGGGUCGAAAGCGGAGCAGCUUGCACACCUCGAGCACCUACCCUGGCUGCUCGCGUAGGGGUGUGAAGUGUAGUAGACAGUCUUCCCCGUGCGUCCCUAGGAACCUAGAGUGAGGACCACAGUCGGGAACCUAGGGCAGUUUUACGUAUCCCCCACCAUUUUUCAUCAGAGACCAUGAAGGAGGCCUCACUGCCGGCGCCUUCUUUAGUUUCCUUAAAUUAUAAUUUUACAAACCCUGCCCCAAGCUUCCAGUCUCCCUUCUCCAACAAAAUGGUGCUGGCUAACUCAGAUGUCUGGGAGAUCUGAAGUUGUGUCAACCUGACUUCCCGGUAAUUCUUGGACAGUAGAAAAGAUUUUUUUUCUGGGCACUUGGGUAUCAGUAUUUUCAGUUAAGAGCACGCCUUUGUUGCUAGUUCAUCGGUUCUUACCUGGCCUUGAGAGGCUGACACGCCGCAAUUCAGACUUUAUUUAUUUACUUUUUUAAUCACAAAUGAAGGCAUCUCUUGAAAAUCAAGCUGCUUGGAUAUACCCAGCAUCGUACCGAUCUCAGCAACACAACUCUGCCCUUUGACAUUUCUCCUCAGCACAGUGGCAUGCAUCCUGACUGUAAAGAAGGAAGACUUUGAAGGUAAGAAACAUUCUUGGGUGAACUGUGAUUAGAUUAUAAAAGAAGGAGAAGAAAGCUAGUUGCCGUUGAUAAGAAUCAGGAAUAAGUGACAAGUGAAAACAAAGUGUAAGAAAGAAGAGUAGUUAUAUGGUAUAACUGAAGGGGUUUGGCCAGUUAGCUUGGCCAAACCAAAUAAUUCCAAUGAAAAAAUUCUCUUAGGUAUCUGAAUUAUCUGGGUGGGGUAUUAUCACAAAGUUAAAUGGUUUCUUGCUUUGUAUGUUCCAUGCAUCUAAGCUGUAUCUUUGUAAAGGCUUCUCAGGAGGCCCUUAAAUUAUCUGGUGGCAAGGAAUUCUUGCCAGGCUCAGCUGGUUAAAAAACACAACAAACAAAAACAAAUUGACAUACAGUUGGUUGGAGAGGCAGUUUAGUCAAAUUAUAAAGCUAGAAAGGAUCUUAAAAGGCUUUCUGUUUGGAUCCUCUAGCUUUAUGCUACUGUUCACUCUGCUCAUCCGGAAAGAUGAUUAUAUUUCCUGUUGUAAAACUUCCCUAAAGCUAUGGAAUUACAGUCUCCUUUGAUAACCAAUUUAAUUUUAAUCAGCCUAAGUUCUGUACAAUUGACCAAACUCAGUUCCUUUUACACAGGAAAUGAGGCUUGUUCAGAGAAUGCCUCCAGGCUUACUGGAGACUCAUGUGUGGGUAGCAUAGUAAAAACUUUGGCCAGCUGGUUAAUUUUAUGGAUGGCAAGGCAGGAUUAAACAACAUUCACCAAAGAAUUCUUUGAGACAUUUCACACAUAUAAUUUACAACAAAAGGACAUACAGUCUUGUAAAUGGUUAAUUAUUAGUCUCAUAAAAUUAUAUUUGAUCUUCUUAUAGUUAGGUUUUUACAUGAUACUUCUUGAAAUUCUGAUCUGCGGUCUAUAAUAGAAAAGACUCCAACAACCUAAAUGACAGUGGUGCUUUACUUUUCAAAAUUAUCCCCCUAGGUUAGUGGUUACCAGAUUUAUGUACACGUAAAAGUCAUCUAGGGGAGGUUGUUAGAAUACAGAUUACUGAGCUUAACUGGAAGAUUCUGAUGCAGUAGGUCAGAGGUAGGGCUAGGAAUCCCAAAGAUGAGUCCAUAGCAGGUCAUCCUCAAACCACAUGUUGACAGACACUCUCCAGAAUGGAAAAUAGCCAUUUCCCAUUCCCAAAUAACCUUGCAUUUUAGAAAAUUUAAAGAGUCGAGUGAACAUUUGGGAAGGAGUCUUUGGUUCCAACAGAGGAAGGUGAGAGGGGCGUCAUUUCCAGAAUCACCUAGAGAGCUUGGGAAUCCUCCUACUUUUGAACUGAAAGACUCCAACAGUCCAAAAUUCAGGGGGAGGAAGAUUCCUUUUAUUUAUUUAUUCAUUUUGCUGUUUAGGGUCACACCUGUGGCAUGUGGAAGUUCCCAGGCUAGGGGUUAAAUCAGAGUUGCAGCACCCAACCUAUACCACAGCCACAGCAAUGCGGGAUCCUUAAUUAACUCUCUGAGCAGGACCAGGGAUUGAAUCUGCAUCUCUGCAUCUUCAUGAAUACUAGUCAGGUUCUUUUUUUUUUUUUUUGGCUUUUGAGGGCCGCACCCAUGGCAUAUGGAGGUUCCCAGGCUAGGGGUCUAUAGCUGCUAGCCUACACCAGAGCCACAGCAAUGCCAGAUCCUUAACCCACUGAACGGGAGGCCAGGGAUCGAACCCUCAACCUCACGGUUCCUAGUUGGAUCUGUUUCCGAUGCUCCACAAUGGGAACUCCACUAGUCAGGUUCUUAACCCGCUGAGCUACAGCAAGAACUCUUUCAUACUCUUUUUAAGAGUAUAAUAUAUAAUGCAAAUAAUUCUAGAUGUUACCUAAUAAAUCACUCCUUAAUGAGACUCACAUUAACAGAUAAUUAGCUGUUUUCAUCCAGCUGAGAAGAACCAAACUGAAGAAAUGAGUAUAUUAAUUGGUAAUUUGGGAAUCUUAGUCACUUCCAUCUACUUUAAAAUCUUAGAUUCACUGGCAGAGUGAGGGGAAGCCUUGGGCAAUUGGAGGGUAGAAUCAAAAGUUCUGAGGAGUGUUGCAAAAAGAGAUGUUUGAGUAGCCAAUAGCAAAAUUCUUCACUAAGCCCUUCCAAAACACCGUCUGGCCUGUGACCUUAAUGUUAAUGUUGCUUUUGCUCUUUGCCACAGCAUCCUCAGACUAGAUUUGUAGCUAAAACAUAAAUCCUUAGGCAAAUUCUGUAGCUUCUACUUUUUUGACUAUUUGAAGAAAUUUUAUUUCUAGGGUAAUUGUAUAUGCCUGUUUCUUUGAUGGUUGCCUUGACUCCUUUUUGGAAGAUGAUGAAAUUAUAAAUUAAUUUUUUGACCAAGCCAAGAACUUUGAAACCAGGCGGCAUACUUGGGAGGUAGAUGAAAGCAUGGGUAUGAGCUCUUGGACAUGGGCUGUGGAGCCCGCCUAGUUGCCUUUGAAAUCUGGCUUCCCUCUUUACUAGUUCUGUGACUUUAGUCAAGUUACUUAACUUCUCUGUGUCUUCAUUUCAUCAUCUGAAAAAUAGGGCUUAAUGUACAGAACCUACAUGAUAGAGUUGUGAAGAUGGUUAAUGAGCUUUCAGAAUAGUGCUGAGCACAGCAAUAAGCAUUCAAUAAAAAUCAGUUAAUUGUUGACAUUAUUUACUGUUAAAUAUUAAAUGUGUUGAUGCUUUUAAGGCAGCUUUCAUUUUAUUUUCCUCGUUCUUAAAUCUAAAGAAGCCUUUAUUUUUUUAAAUCAGAAGAUUGCCCUCAUUAUCUUAGAGAAUCCUGAUACUAUUUUAAAUAUUACGGUUAUGCUUACUACUGUUUUAUCACUUUGAUUUAGGGGCUUUUUUGGCCAAUUCUAAAUGUUUAAAAUCAAUAAAUAUGUAUUGCAAUAAUCUGGAGAAAUGGUGUAGGUACCAAAUUAGCAAAAGUUUGGUACCUACACUACUUGGUUUUUGGUUUUUGGCAGUGAGGGUAGGGGAGCUGUCCCAAGGUUAAAAGAUAAGACCUUCAAGACAUUCCUACUCCUCAGAAAUUCUGGAGAGCAACAGCCAAGUCAAUAGAGAAAAGAUUGCUCUUUUUUUUUUUUUUGUCUUUUUAGGGCCACACCUGCAGCACACCGAGGCCCCCAGGCCAGGGGUCCAAUUGGAGCCGCAACUACCGGCCUACGCCACAGCCACAGCAGCUCAGUAUCUGAACCGCGUCUGCGGCCCAUACCGCAGCUCACAGCAACACCAGAUCCCCAACCCACCGAGCAAGGCGAGGGAUUGAACCAGCAUCCUCAUGGCUCCCAGUCAGACUCCCUUCCGCUGUGCCAAGAUGGGAACUCCAGAGAAAAGAUUGCUCUUAAAGAAGCCAAUAUGUUUAAUCAUUGAAAUGAUUUUACUUUUAUAGAACCACAGAGGGCAGUAAAAAAACAGUUAACUGAGAAUUGAUUAAACCAGUGCUGUCUACAUCAUGGCUAACGUAGAGAAAUCUGAGUUAAUCAGCACAUCCUUCCAAGAACACUAGAUGGUGCUCUGAAUUUAGUUUUGGGAUUCAGACUACCUCAGCAAAUGGCUGUCUUCAUUCAACAAAUAUUGAUUAGGCAGUGAAUAAAAUAUUAAAAAUGCGUGCCCUUGUGGGGCUACAGUUUAAUUGGGAUGGUAGGAAUAAAGUGAAAAAUAAACAUAAGUAUUAGAAAUAUAGAAUGAUAGAAAGUGGGAAGUGCUGUGGAAAACAGCAGGGAAAAUGGGAAGACGGGCAGUUGCAAUAUUAAGUAAACUUGUCAGAGUGGACUUCAUUGUGAAGGUGACAUCUGAACAAUAACUUGGAGUCCCUGGAGUGAGCAAUAAGGACAGUUGAGGAGAAGGUGUUCUAGGAAGAGGAAACACUAGGGCAGAGACUCUAAGCCCUAAGGCAAGAGUGGCCAGGCCUAUUUAAGAAUUGCCUAAAAAAAAAAAAAAAAAAAAAAAA